RNAcentral lists this ribosomal RNA (1444 nucleotides) under uncultured organism. Its description in RNAcentral is "16S ribosomal RNA". It matches the Rfam family "Bacterial small subunit ribosomal RNA". The record is from RNAcentral.
CAGGCUUAACACAUGCAAGUCGAGGGGCAGCAUUUUAGUUUGCUUGCAAACUAAAGAUGGCGACCGGCGCACGGGUGAGUAACACGUAUCCAACCUGCCGAUAACUCGGGGAUAGCCUUUCGAAAGAAAGAUUAAUAUCCGAUAGUAUAUUAAAACCGCAUGGUUUUACUAUUAAAGAAUUUCGGUUAUCGAUGGGGAUGCGUUCCAUUAGUUUGUUGGCGGGGUAACGGCCCACCAAGACUACGAUGGAUAGGGGUUCUGAGAGGAAGGUCCCCCACAUUGGAACUGAGACACGGUCCAAACUCCUACGGGAGGCAGCAGUGAGGAAUAUUGGUCAAUGGACGAGAGUCUGAACCAGCCAAGUAGCGUGAAGGAUGACUGCCCUAUGGGUUGUAAACUUCUUUUAUAUGGGAAUAAAGUAUUCCACGUGUGGGAUUUUGUAUGUACCAUAUGAAUAAGGAUCGGCUAACUCCGUGCCAGCAGCCGCGGUAAUACGGAGGAUCCGAGCGUUAUCCGGAUUUAUUGGGUUUAAAGGGAGCGUAGGUGGAUUGUUAAGUCAGUUGUGAAAGUUUGCGGCUCAACCGUAAAAUUGCAGUUGAAACUGGCAGUCUUGAGUACAGUAGAGGUGGGCGGAAUUCGUGGUGUAGCGGUGAAAUGCUUAGAUAUCACGAAGAACUCCGAUUGCGAAGGCAGCUCACUAGACUGCAACUGACACUGAUGCUCGAAAGUGUGGGUAUCAAACAGGAUUAGAUACCCUGGUAGUCCACACAGUAAACGAUGAAUACUCGCUGUUUGCGAUAUACAGUAAGCGGCCAAGCGAAAGCAUUAAGUAUUCCACCUGGGGAGUACGCCGGCAACGGUGAAACUCAAAGGAAUUGACGGGGGCCCGCACAAGCGGAGGAACAUGUGGUUUAAUUCGAUGAUACGCGAGGAACCUUACCCGGGCUUAAAUUGCAUUUGAAUAAUCUGGAAACAGGUUAGCCGCAAGGCAAAUGUGAAGGUGCUGCAUGGUUGUCGUCAGCUCGUGCCGUGAGGUGUCGGCUUAAGUGCCAUAACGAGCGCAACCCUUAUCUUUAGUUACUAACAGGUCAUGCUGAGGACUCUAGAGAGACUGCCGUCGUAAGAUGUGAGGAAGGUGGGGAUGACGUCAAAUCAGCACGGCCCUUACGUCCGGGGCUACACACGUGUUACAAUGGGGGGUACAGAAGGCAGCUACCUGGCGACAGGAUGCUAAUCCCAAAAACCUCUCUCAGUUCGGAUCGAAGUCUGCAACCCGACUUCGUGAAGCUGGAUUCGCUAGUAAUCGCGCAUCAGCCAUGGCGCGGUGAAUACGUUCCCGGGCCUUGUACACACCGCCCGUCAAGCCAUGAAAGCCGGGGGUACCUGAAGUACGUAACCGCAAGGAGCGUCCUAGGGUAAAACUGGUAAUUGGGGCUAAGUCGUA